RNAcentral lists this ribosomal RNA (1000 nucleotides) under uncultured bacterium. RNAcentral's name for it is "bacterial SSU rRNA". It matches the Rfam family "Bacterial small subunit ribosomal RNA", at positions 81 to 1084 of the family's 1533-position model. The record is from RNAcentral.
UACAUGGUGGCGAGUGGCGCACGGGUGCGUAACACGUAUGUAACCUACCUCUAACAGUGGCAUAACAAUGAGAAAUUAUUGCUAAUUCCGCAUGUGGUUAAUUUGAGGCAUCUUAGAUUAACUAAAGAUUUAUCGGUUAGAGCUGGGCAUGCGUCCCAUUAGCUAGUUGGUGAGGUAACGGCUCACCAAGGCCUCGAUGGGUAGGGGCUCUGAGAGGAUUGUCCCCCACACUGGUACUGAGACACGGACCAGACUCCUACGGGAGGCAGCAGUAAGGAAUAUUGGGCAAUGGACGCAAGUCUGACCCAGCCAUGCCGCGUGAAGGAAGACGGCCCUAUGGGUUGUAAACUUCUUUUCUCAGGGGGUAAACUCCGGAACGUGUUCCGGACUGAAAGUACCUGAGGAAUAAGCAUCGGCUAACUCCGUGCCAGCAGCCGCGGUAAUACGGAGGAUGCGAGCGUUAUCCGGAUUCAUUGGGUUUAAAGGGUGCGCAGGCGGAUAUAUAAGUCGGAGGUGAAAUUCUGAUGCUCAACAUCAGCCGUGCCUUCGAUACUGUAUAUCUAGAGUCAAGUUGGAGUAGGCGGAAUGUGUUGUGUAGCGGUGAAAUGCUUAGAUAUAACACAGAACACCGAUCGCGAAGGCAGCUUACUAAACUUUGACUGACGCUCAUGCACGAAAGCGUGGGGAUCAAACAGGAUUAGAUACCCUGGUAGUCCACGCUGUAAACGAUGAUUACUCGCUGUUGGCGAUACACAGUCAGUGGCUAAGCGAAAGUGAUAAGUAAUCCACCUGGGGAGUACGACGGCAACGUUGAAACUCAAAGGAAUUGACGGGGGCCCGCACAAGCGGAGGAGCAUGUGGUUUAAUUCGAUGAUACGCGAGGAACCUUACCAGGGCUAGAACGCAAGUUGAUUAUGUGCGAAAGUAUAUAUCUCUUCGGAGCAAUUUGCGAGGUGCUGCAUGGUUGUCGUCAGCUCGUGCCGUGAGGUGUCAGGUUAAG